AGAAUGUAGAGGGGAAGAGACUUCGUGAGGGAUCCCAAUACCUGCAGUUUAAAAUAAGGAUCGGAGUUCCUUUUAAUGAAGAUCACGCAAGGUCAAAACACCAUGAAGUAAUGAGAAUGAAGGGUUUUCAAGUGCUUUUCCUAACAAUAAAGACCGCUGCUAAACCUG
Long non-coding RNA from Sphaerodactylus townsendi, 168 nucleotides. RefSeq lists it as uncharacterized. The record is from RefSeq and is a predicted model, not a curated record. The transcript is spliced from 2 exons. Lineage: Eukaryota; Metazoa; Chordata; Lepidosauria; Squamata; Sphaerodactylidae.